ACGCACGCUGGCGGCGUGCUUAACCCCUGCAAGUCGAACGGAAAGGCCCUGCUUUUGUGGGGUGCUCGAGUGGCGAACGGGUGAGUAGCACGUGAGUAACCUGCCCUUGACUUUGGGAUAACUUCAGGAAACUGGGGCUAAUACCGGAUAGGAGCUCCUGCUGCAUGGUGGGGGUUGGAAAGUUUCGGCGGUUGGGGAUGGACUCGCGGCUUAUCAGCUUGUUGGUGGGGUAGUGGCUUACCAAGGCUUUGACGGGUAGCCGGCCUGAGAGGGUGACCGGCCACAUUGGGACUGAGAUACGGCCCAGACUCCUACGGGAGGCAGCAGUGGGGAAUAUUGCACAAUGGGCGGAAGCCUGAUGCAGCAACGCCGCGUGCGGGAUGACGGCCUUCGGGUUGUAAACCGCUUUCGCCUGUGACGAAGCGUGAGUGACGGUAAUGGGUAAAGAAGCACCGGCUAACUACGUG
RNAcentral lists this ribosomal RNA (467 nucleotides) under uncultured bacterium. Its description in RNAcentral is "partial 16S ribosomal RNA". It matches the Rfam family "Bacterial small subunit ribosomal RNA", at positions 29 to 507 of the family's 1533-position model. The record is from RNAcentral.